Molecule: non-coding RNA, 120 nt
Organism: Gossypium hirsutum (cotton)
Lineage: Eukaryota; Viridiplantae; Streptophyta; Magnoliopsida; Malvales; Malvaceae
Source: Rfam
AUGUGUGAUCAUACCAGCAGUAAUGCACAGGAUCCCAUCAGAACUCCGUAGUUAAGCGUGCUUGUGAGAUAGUAGUACAAGGAUGGGUGACCUUCUUGGGAGGUCCUCGUGUUGCAACCU